AUGGGAGACACCGCCCUCACCUUCAUCCUUCUCUUCCUCAUCACCCUGCUGUUCGCCGUUGGAACCACUGCUUUCAAGCCUAAAUACAAAGACAUUACACUUAGAAUUAAGGGAGCACAGUUGGUUACUUCACCAAAAUCUGAAGGGCCUGCAGUGACAGCUCCAUCAGUGGAGAUCAAGAGAUCUCUGCCACAUUUUCUGAAGGGAAACAGUGCUGUGCUGGAGUUUGAUGUCACACAACUCUCCACCAGUGACCUUUAUGUCACCUUUCAAGCCAACGGUGUUAACAUCUCUGACAAACAGUGUGUUGAUCUUCCUGAAGCACCAGGCCUCCAUUCAAUCAGUUGAAGCUUCUCUGUCCCUCCAAGUCACUGGAAGGAAGGUGCAAGUUUCACCUGUAAAGUGAAUCAAGGCUUCUCCAGCAACUUUGAGUCAAACUCAACUGGAAAUAUUUUUGGUGACCCAUCUAUGGAGCUCCUUCUUGUCCACAGUGAAGAGUCUUGUGCUCUCGAUGGGGCUUCAACCCUCAAAUGAAAUGGUUUUUGGAGGCUCAGCAAAGAUCCUCAUCAACCAAUGACAUCAGCAUGGGUGCAGAUGGACGUCUAUCAGUCACCAGUCAACUUCAUAUCCCUCAGAAAGAGUGGAAAACAGGGAAGGUCUUCACUUGUGAAGUGUCUGACAGGUCUAUGAACAAAUAUGUCAGGAAGGAAAUCAGCCUCUGUGCAGGUAAAUUCUGAUCAUAAUCCACAAUCAUAUUAAGGCAUCAUGUGUAGAACAAAUAGAUGCACACAAUUUCAGAA
Molecule: non-coding RNA, 800 nt
Organism: Chelmon rostratus (copperband butterflyfish)
Lineage: Eukaryota; Metazoa; Chordata; Actinopteri; Chaetodontiformes; Chaetodontidae
Source: the annotation of a RefSeq genome assembly